GCUACGACGGCCACGUCGUCAGGGGCUUCCCCCACUCCUGGGCCCAUCUAUGUGCCUGCAAUGGCCUCAGUGGUCACCUCCAGCUGACACAGGACAGGACUUAUGGGCUGGAGCCGGAUCCCAGUGGCCCCCCCGGGCAGCACGUCGCCCACCGGCUGCGGGACUGUGGGCUGAGACCCCCCCAGGGACCCCCGGAUGACGUGGGGACGGAGCUGCCAUGGCUGCAUAGGGCCAAACGAGCUCCAGCCCAGCAGCGCGUUGUGGAGCUGGUGAUGGUGGUGGACCACGCU
Molecule: non-coding RNA, 290 nt
Organism: Coturnix japonica (Japanese quail)
Lineage: Eukaryota; Metazoa; Chordata; Aves; Galliformes; Phasianidae
Source: RefSeq, a predicted model, not a curated record